AAAAAGGCAAACCCUAGGUUUUCGUACCAACGUUUGACUGUCCGUCUUAUAUGAAAAUUUUUUAUAAUUAGUAUUUUUAUUGUUGUUAGAUGAUAAAAUAUGAUUAAUACUUUAUGCGUGACUUAUCUUUUUAUUUUUUUUUAUAAUUUUUUCAAAUAAAACGAACGGUCAAACGUUGGACACGGAAAUUAGGGUUUGUCUUUUU
This is a microRNA precursor of Oryza sativa Indica Group (long-grained rice), 205 nucleotides long. It matches the Rfam family "MIR812 microRNA precursor family". NCBI's taxonomy places the organism in Eukaryota, Viridiplantae, Streptophyta, Magnoliopsida, Poales, Poaceae. The record is from Rfam.